UGUAGUUGUAGUAAUUAGUUAAUAAAUUUUAAUCCUUAUUUUCAUUUACCAGCAGUUUAAACUAUGAGAGAAAAGUUCGUUUGGCAUGUAAGUCUUUUUCAGGUGUAUUUUUUCUUAGGCUUUGUAUAAAAAAAUACAAAAAA
Long non-coding RNA from Rhagoletis zephyria (snowberry fruit fly), 143 nucleotides. RefSeq lists it as uncharacterized. Lineage: Eukaryota; Metazoa; Arthropoda; Insecta; Diptera; Tephritidae. The record is from RefSeq and is a predicted model, not a curated record.